Molecule: ribosomal RNA, 502 nt
Filed under: uncultured Glomus
Lineage: Eukaryota; Fungi; Glomeromycota; Glomeromycetes; Glomerales; Glomeraceae
Description: SSU rRNA
Rfam family: Eukaryotic small subunit ribosomal RNA
Source: RNAcentral
AGCAGCCGCGGUAAUUCCAGCUCCAAUAGCGUAUAUUAAAGUUGUUGCAGUUAAAAAGCUCGUAGUUGAAUUUCGGGGUUAGCAGGUCGGUCGUGCCAUCGGUAUGAACUGGUCUCGCUGAUCCCUCCCUCUUGACGAACUGUGAUGCCAUUAAUUUGGUGUCGCAGGGAAUCAGGACUGUUACUUUGAAAAAUUAGAGUGUUUAAAGCAGGCUCACGCUUGAAUACAUUAGCAUGGAAUAAUGAAAUAGGACGUUUGAUCCUAUUUUGUUGGCUUCUAGGAUUGACGUAAUGAUUAAUAGGGAUAGUUGGGGGCAUUAGUAUUCAAUUGUCAGAGGUGAAAUUCUUGGAUUUAUUGAAGACUAACUACUGCGAAAGCAUUUGCCAAGGAUGUUUUCAUUAAUCAAGAACGAAAGUUAGGGGGUCGAAGACGAUCAGAUACCGUCGUAGUCUUAACCAUAAACUAUGCCGACUAGGGAUCGGAUGAUGUUAAUUUUUAAUGA